AGCACCACCUCGGCAUCCACAUCAACAUUAGCUGGCCACCUCACCACCACUCCAACCAAUGGAAGCACGCCAACCAGGAUGAAGUCAAGCAUAAGGAGCCGACCACAUCAUCUCAUCAAAGAAACCAAUGCAACGUCAUGCCACCUCAUCAGAAGAACCAAUCACUAUGCAACAUGCUAUGUGACACCUAUUGGGACGCCACCUCAACACCAUAUCAGCAAUCAUCUCAACCAGACGCCACCUCAACACCACAUCAGCAAUCAUCUCAACCAAGAGGAUAAUGCCAAAUGGAAGAGUCAAAAUCAAAA
Molecule: long non-coding RNA, 308 nt
Filed under: Phoenix dactylifera (date palm)
Lineage: Eukaryota; Viridiplantae; Streptophyta; Magnoliopsida; Arecales; Arecaceae
Description: long non-coding RNA (PDAC_LNC012982)
Source: RNAcentral